UACAGAGGGUGCGAGCGUUAAUCGGAAUUACUGGGCGUAAAGGGUGCGUAGGUGGAAGAACAAGUCAAAGGUGAAAUCCCUGGGCUUAACCUGGGAAUGGCCUGUGAAACUGUUUUUCUAGAGUAGAGUAGAGGGGAGUGGAAUUUCCGGUGUAGCGGUGAAAUGCGUAGAGAUCGGAAGGAACACCAGUGGCGAAGGCGGCUCUCUGGGCUCAUACUGACACUGAGGCACGAAAGCGUGGGGAGCGAACAGG
Molecule: ribosomal RNA, 253 nt
Filed under: uncultured prokaryote
Description: partial 16S ribosomal RNA
Rfam family: Bacterial small subunit ribosomal RNA
Source: RNAcentral